This 1529-nucleotide long non-coding RNA is filed under the name Gossypium barbadense (sea-island cotton). Its description in RNAcentral is "long non-coding RNA (GBAR_LNC011966)". Lineage: Eukaryota; Viridiplantae; Streptophyta; Magnoliopsida; Malvales; Malvaceae. The record is from RNAcentral.
UAUUCCAAUGCAGCUGCUAGCUUUCAUGUGGGUGAACAAAUGGAUUUACUAGGCGAUGAAUCCAAAAGGCCAGGAAUUGCUCAUCAAGAAUAUACCUCUACGUCCAAUUCGAGCUGUCAAAUUGACCUGUGGAAGUGAAAUAUAUUCAAGCAAUUAGAGCAUAUAUAUACUAAUUAUAGGAAGCAAAAUUUAUAAGAAAAAGAUGUUUUUAAUCCAGGUUUUCUGUACAUUAUAAAACUAUAUAUAUAUAAUAUAUGGUACUGCAUUAGCUAUGGGAGUCCUGGUGCCCUUAAUUUGUACCAGGCAUGUAGUUAUUGCUAAAUUGACAUUAUGCGAAGUACAAAUAAAUUAGUACGUACUUUUUACUGUGGCCGACAGCUCUUUGGGACUGAAUCGGCCUAAUAUUGAAUGUAUUUUCAGCUUGAAAUACAUAUGAUGGUUUCUUUAUUGUGAUCUUUGUCCUUCUUCGAUCAUUUAUGUUUUUCCUUAACUAAUUAAUCUUUCCCUUUCAAAAAUUUAUAAAUCCUUUAAUUUAGUUCAUAAUUAUGCUGUAAAAGUGAAUUAAUUCAAUCCUUUUGUCCAAAAAACCUUCAUACUAAUACCUUUAUCCUCAUAUGCAACCAUGAGAAAAUUUUACAUUGAAAGAAAGCAUUUAGGUGUGAAUGUUAGAAACAUUUUAAGCUUUUAUAAUGCAUUUGGAGGCCAUAUUCUUAUAUCCGUGAUAUAUUCACUACAGUGUGGGUUCAAAGAUCCAGGGAAAACAUCAAUAUGAAAUCUGGCAAACAUUUUGUGAAGAAAUGACAAUUAUUGGAUCUAUAGAAUUCUAAAUUUCUAAUAUAUGUAUAUAUAUAGUCCGGUCAUUCAAAGUUUAAAUGCUUUGUACUUUUAGACCAAUCAUGUAGGAGAUAUGAUAUAAAAUAAAUGCUACAUUAAGAAGAGUACUUCUGCAUCUCAAGCUUAAAGGAACCUUACUGUAAUUAAGUGUGAUAUUCCUUUAACACUGAACUAUCAAAUGAAGAUAAGGUAAAUGGCAGCAGCUCAUAAAUAUAAUAAAGAUGAAAAGAAUAAUAUAUCUUACUACCCUUAAUAUUAUAUUCCUUAAUAUUAUAUUCCUCUGGCAGUGCAUGUGGUUGAAGAUAAGUUAAAACUGGUGCAUGCCAUAAUGUAAGUAAGUACGAAGCAUAUAGAUAUUUGACAUGAAAAAUGCAUGUCAUUAAAACUAUUUGCAUUUCAGUAGGGGAGAACAUGUUUUUACUAGUUCCAGAACUCAGGACAAAGAAUUUAGAUGCUAAAUAUUGCUAAUAUAUACCACUCAUUGCCUGUUCACUGAACAUAUGCACCUAUGCUUUAGCUACAUACCUGCCGAAGAAGAUGAAUUAAGAUGGCUGUUAGAUCCUGAAGGCUCCAGCACUAUCAAAUUUAGACUGGAAAUACCAUUAAACUGCAGGCUGCUCUGGCCUUGAAGGAGGGUAGGGGUAGCACUGCUGAAAGAAUAGUGAGGGAGAGAGGUGGCGGCAGUUCACAAUGCG